Molecule: ribosomal RNA, 449 nt
Filed under: uncultured bacterium
Lineage: Bacteria
Description: partial 16S ribosomal RNA
Rfam family: Bacterial small subunit ribosomal RNA
Source: RNAcentral
AACGAACGCUGGCGGCAUGCCUAACACAUGCAAGUCGAACGAGAUCUUCGGGUCUAGUGGCGCACGGGUGCGUAACGCGUGGGAAUCUGCCCUUUGGUUCGGAAUAACAGUUGGAAACGACUGCUAAUACCGGAUGAUGACGAAAGUCCAAAGAUUUAUCGCCAGAGGAUGAGCCCGCGUAGGAUUAGCUAGUUGGUGUGGUAAAGGCGCACCAAGGCGACGAUCCUUAGCUGGUCUGAGAGGAUGAUCAGCCACACUGGGACUGAGACACGGGCGAGACUCCUACGGGAGGCAGCAGUGGGGAAUAUUGGACAAUGGGCGAAAGCCUGAUCCAGCAAUGCCGCGUGAGUGAUGAAGGCCUUAGGGUUGUAAAGCUCUUUUACCCGGGAUGAUAGUGACAGUACCGGGAGAAUAAGCUCCGGCUAACUCCGUGCCAGCCGCCGCGGUAA